RNAcentral lists this long non-coding RNA (406 nucleotides) under Vulpes vulpes (red fox). Its description in RNAcentral is "lncRNA (ENSVVUG00000022138.1)". The record is from RNAcentral. Lineage: Eukaryota; Metazoa; Chordata; Mammalia; Carnivora; Canidae.
CAGAAAUUUUUUUUAAAACUGGUUUCAAAGAAACUAAGAAACAAUUGGAGACUAUUCAUAUAACAAAUAAAAAUGUCAUUUUCUUUUUACAGGUCUCCAAAUGGAAAAAUACAGUUCUGUUUUUCCCUUUCGUGAAACUGGCCCAAAGUGUGAACAAACAAGCCACGACCAGGCUGACAGAUUACAAUCCGUAGACAGUAAUCAUUGUCAGCGGGAUCAUCUUGGAAAACAAAGAGAAACAUGAGCAUCCAACGCCCCAAAUCUGAACCGUUUCGUUUGCUCUAAGCAGUGCGUGCCUGCUGAGGUGUGAGCUGGCUGCCAUCAGUGUCAUUUCAGUGAGUAACGUGAUUGACUUUCCUCCUGCUAUGAACAAGGCCCAAAUUUUCAUUCCACUUCUGGGGCUGUU